GUGCGAAGGCGAGAGAAAGAGAGCGAGGAAAAAUGGGAGGGGCGAGAAAGAAAUAGCUAUUUCUUUCUUGCCCCUCCCAUUUUUUCUCGCUCUUUCUCUCGCCUUCGCAUC
Paramuricea clavata is the source of this 111-nucleotide non-coding RNA. NCBI's taxonomy places the organism in Eukaryota, Metazoa, Cnidaria, Anthozoa, Malacalcyonacea, Plexauridae. The record is from the annotation of a GenBank genome assembly.